UCCGUCGCAAAAUUUCGCGUUCCCUGCCCUCACUUCCAAUUUGCCCGCCCUCACCCGCCAUUCUCUUCUCUCUCUCUGCUGAUUCCUCAGAUCCUCCCUGCACUCGCUGUUCUCCCUGCCUCUCCCUCUUUCGUCUCUCGAUCAGAUCUGCACUCGCUGUACCCCUCGCUAGAUAUAGAACCUACCCCUCGCACCGCAGCUUCGAUGAUGGUGGAGAGGACGCGCCGCCGCGGAGGAGGAGCAGCAGCAGCAGCAGCAGCUGGGCCCCGCGUCCCUUCGGGUUCCCUCGGCCCCCCGUGUUUCCCUCGCCCCCGUCCCUCCCUCGUCCGAAUUGGGGGGCGGCGCCGCCGCCGAACUGGCCUCGAGGUACUUCCCCUUUGGGUGUUCCGGUUGGUGUUCGCUGGAUGGGGUCGUCGCGUUCCGUGAUUCUUGCACCCGAUUGCCGGCUCGUUCGUUUGAUUGCGUGCUCCUCCCGUUCUCUCGGGUGCCUGAUUGCUCGAUUCUAGCUGCGUUCCUGCUCGUUCUCGACUGUUUCGGGUGUAGUUUGGGGUAAAGGGGGUUCUGGUGUUGUAAUUCGUGAUUUUAGUGCUAGUGUUGCGUGCUGAAUUUCAAGCGAUGUUUCUGGGUGCGACAGUGGUGUUGCUUGGCUUUUGAUUUUCGUAUCCAGCGGGGUUCUGUUAGCUGAAUUACUGGGCUGAGUGUUCAAAUUCGGAGCUUUUGCAAUGCUCUCGGGGAAGUAAACUUUUUGGUGCAUAAACUUCUUGACCAAGCUUUUCUUGAAGUUGUGGAGUGUGCUCUGUCAACGAGGUUGGCAUCUUAUUUUUCCUAAAUGAUGGUAGAUAAGCUCUGACAUCUGUUUUAAUAUGGGUGAUGGUAUGGCAGUAAAACACUUAUCAGCAUGGCAAGCCAACUUUGAUUGAUGGGGAUGUAUUAACUUGGUAUCCUAACCCAGGAAGAAUCUCCUAGGAUAUUGACUCAUGGCUAGGAAGGGCAAUCAGCAGAAGAAUGGGGUUAGUAGUUCCUCACAGAAUGGCAAAAAGAAGGGUUCAGAAACACAUCAAGAAAGAAGACAAGCUACUGACGUGAAGAUUCCUCCUAAAGAGACAACUGUGAACAGUCAUCACUCGAGCAACGUGUCGGCUGAGAGCAUGAGUCAAGGAACUGGGAAACUAAUGAGUAUGGAUAAACAAGGGACAGAUGCAGCUCAGGGAUUAGAGCACCCAGUUCUGUCUGGGGAAUCUUCAGGGGAUUAUAUUCAAAAUGCAUCUCCUAUG
Long non-coding RNA from Syzygium oleosum, 1274 nucleotides. RefSeq lists it as uncharacterized. The transcript has 2 exons. Lineage: Eukaryota; Viridiplantae; Streptophyta; Magnoliopsida; Myrtales; Myrtaceae. The record is from RefSeq and is a predicted model, not a curated record.